This 138-nucleotide ribosomal RNA is filed under the name uncultured bacterium. RNAcentral describes it as "partial 16S ribosomal RNA". It matches the Rfam family "Bacterial small subunit ribosomal RNA", at positions 355 to 509 of the family's 1533-position model. The record is from RNAcentral.
UGGGGAAUAUUGCACAAUGGGGGGAACCCGUGAUGCAGCGACGCCGCGUGAGCGAAGAAGUAUCUCGGUAUGUAAAGCUCUAUCAGCAGGGAAGAAAAUGACGGUACCUGACUAAGAAGCCCCGGCUAACUACGUGCC